Molecule: ribosomal RNA, 760 nt
Filed under: uncultured bacterium
Lineage: Bacteria
Description: bacterial SSU rRNA
Rfam family: Bacterial small subunit ribosomal RNA
Source: RNAcentral
AGCGUGGGGAGCAAACAGGAUUAGAUACNNNNGUAGUCCACGCCCUAAACGAUGUCGACUGGNNNUUGGGGGUUUGACACUCUCAGUAACGAAGCUAACGCGUGAAGUCGACCGCCUGGGGAGUACGGCCGCAAGGUUAAAACUCAAAGGAAUUGACGGGGACCCGCACAAGCGGUGGAUUAUGUGGAUUAAUUCGAUGCAACGCGAAAAACCUUACCUACCCUUGACAUGUCCGAGAGCCCGCAGAGAUGUGGGUGUGCCCGAAAGGGAAUCGGAACACAGGUGCUGCAUGGCUGUCGUCAGCUCGUGUCGUGAGAUGUUGGGUUAAGUCCCGCAACGAGCGCAACCCUUGUCAUUAGUUGCUACAUUCAGUUGGGCACUCUAAUGAGACUGCCGGUGACAAACCGGAGGAAGGUGGGGAUGACGUCAAGUCCUCAUGGCCCUUAUAGGUGGGGCUACACACGUCAUACAAUGGCUGGUACAGAGGGUUGCCAACCCGCGAGGGGGAGCUAAUCCCAUAAAACCAGUCGUAGUCCGGAUCGCAGUCUGCAACUCGACUGCGUGAAGUCGGAAUCGCUAGUAAUCGCGGAUCAGAAUGUCGCGGUGAAUACGUUCCCGGGUCUUGUACACACCGCCCGUCACACCAUGGGAGCGGGUUCUGCCAGAAGUAGUUAGCCUAACCGCAAGGAGGGCGAUUACCACGGCAGGGUUCGUGACUGGGGUGAAGUCGUAACAAGGUAGCAAUCGAAUCCCGCGGCCG